Molecule: ribosomal RNA, 468 nt
Filed under: uncultured bacterium
Lineage: Bacteria
Description: partial 16S ribosomal RNA
Rfam family: Bacterial small subunit ribosomal RNA
Source: RNAcentral
GACGAACGCUGGCGGCGUGCUUAACACAUGCAAGUCGAACGGAAAGGCCCUGCUUUUGUGGGGUGCUCGAGUGGCGAACGGGUGAGUAACACGUGAGUAACCUGCCCUUGACUUUGGGAUAACUUCAGGAAACUGGGGCUAAUACCGGAUAGGAGCUCCUGCUGCAUGGUGGGGGUUGGAAAGUUUCGGCGGUUGGGGAUGGACUCGCGGCUUAUCAGCUUGUUGGUGGGGUAGUGGCUUACCAAGGCUUUGACGGGUAGCCGGCCUGGGAGGGUGACCGGCCACGUUGGGACUGGGAUACGGCCCAGACUACUACGGGACGCAGCAGUGGGGAAUAUUGCCCAAUGGGCGGAGGCCUGAUGCAGCAACGCCGCGUGCGGGAUGACGGCCUUCGGGUUGUAAACCGCUUUCGCCUGUGACGAAGCGUGAGUGACGGUAAUGGGUAAAGAAGCACCGGCUAACUACGUG